UAGAGGUUCUAUUUCAAUUUUGCUAGAUUGCCACUGCAUAUUGCUAGAUAUCACUGAUAGAUUGUGAGAGCUCAAUAAGAUUGUUUUGGAUCAAUGAUCCUUAUCGAAUUAGAGUGGAACUGUUCCAACCUACUGAAAAGAGUUUCAGUGAUAUCUAUGAUAGAGAUCAUAGUAUAUCUUACUAUCAGAUAGAAUUGAAUCUAUGGGAUCACACAUAAAGGGAGA
RNAcentral lists this long non-coding RNA (225 nucleotides) under Elaeis guineensis (African oil palm). RNAcentral's name for it is "long non-coding RNA (EGUI_LNC010585)". Lineage: Eukaryota; Viridiplantae; Streptophyta; Magnoliopsida; Arecales; Arecaceae. The record is from RNAcentral.